Molecule: ribosomal RNA, 459 nt
Filed under: uncultured bacterium
Lineage: Bacteria
Description: partial 16S ribosomal RNA
Rfam family: Bacterial small subunit ribosomal RNA
Source: RNAcentral
CCUACGGGUGGCAGCAGUGAGGAAUAUUGGUCAAUGGGCGGGAGCCUGAACCAGCCAAGUCGCGUGAAGGAUGACGGCCCUAUGGGUUGUAAACCUCUUUUGCCGGGGAGCAAAGUGACGCACGUGUGCGGUUUGGAGAGUACCCGGAGAAAAAGCAUCGGCUAACUCCGUGCCAGCAGCCGCGGUAAUACGGAGGAUGCGAGCGUUAUCCGGAUUUAUUGGGUUUAAAGGGUGCGUAGGCGGACGCUUAAGUCAGUGGUAAAAUUUCGGGGCUCAACCUAGUAGAGCAGUUGAAACUGGGUGCCUUGAGUGGGCGAGAAGUACGCGGAAUGCGUGGUGUAGCGGUGAAAUGCAUAGAUAUCACGAAGAACUCCGAUUGCGAAGGCAGCAUACCGGCGUUCCACUGACGCUCAUGCACGAAAGUGUGGGUAUCGAACAGGAUUAGAUACCCCUGUAGUC